Molecule: unclassified non-coding RNA, 390 nt
Filed under: soil metagenome
Description: partial contains 5.8S ribosomal RNA, internal transcribed spacer 2, and large subunit ribosomal RNA
Rfam family: 5.8S ribosomal RNA (bases 1-121)
Source: RNAcentral
GAUGAAGAAGUAGCGAAAUGCGAUACUUGGUGUGAAUUGCAGAAUCCCGUGAACCAUCGAGUCUUUGAACGCAAGUUGCGCCCGAAGCCACUAGGCCGAGGGCACGCCUGCCUGGGCGUCACACGGCGUUGCCCCCCCAUCUACUCCUUCGGGAUUGCGGGGGGGCGGAUGAUGGCCUCCCGUGCGCCUAGCCGCGCGGUUGGCAUAAAUACCAAGUCCUCGGCGACGCACGCCACGACAAUCGGUGGUUGCGAAACCUCGGUUGCCCGUCGUGUGCGUUCGUCGCGAAUCGAGGGCUCGAAAAAAUGCUCGGCUCCGGCUGGGCUUUCAACGCGACCCCAGGUCAGGCGGGGUUACCCGCUGAAUUUAAGCAUAUCAAUAAGCGGAGGA